GGGGCGUUGGCGCAGUUGGUAGCGCGUGACACUGGCAGUGUCAAGGCCAGGGGUUCGAAUCCCCUACGCUCCA
This 73-nucleotide transfer RNA is filed under the name Candidatus Scatousia excrementipullorum. Its description in RNAcentral is "tRNA-Ala". It matches the Rfam family "tRNA". From Rfam's summary of the family: Transfer RNA (tRNA) molecules are approximately 80 nucleotides in length. Their secondary structure includes four short double-helical elements and three loops (D, anti-codon, and T loops). The record is from RNAcentral.